Molecule: ribosomal RNA, 253 nt
Filed under: uncultured bacterium
Lineage: Bacteria
Description: partial 16S ribosomal RNA
Rfam family: Bacterial small subunit ribosomal RNA
Source: RNAcentral
UACGGAGGUUCCUAGCGUUGUUCGGAAUUACUGGGCGUAAAGGGGGCGCAGGCGGAUUGAUAAGUCUAAAGUGGAAUCCCGGGGCUCAACCUCGGACGUGCUUUGGAUACUGUCAGUCUUGAGUUCGUGAGAGGAAAGCGGAAUUCAGGGUGUAGCGGUGAAAUGCUUAGAUAUCCUGAGGAACACCAGUGGCGAAAGCGGCUUUCUGGCACGAAACUGACGCUGAGGCUCGAAAGCGUGGGUAGCGAACGGG